RNAcentral lists this ribosomal RNA (252 nucleotides) under uncultured bacterium. Its description in RNAcentral is "partial 16S ribosomal RNA". It matches the Rfam family "Bacterial small subunit ribosomal RNA", at positions 524 to 776 of the family's 1533-position model. The record is from RNAcentral.
UACGUAGGGGGCUAGCGUUAUCCGGAAUUACUGGGCGUAAAGGGUGCGUAGGUGGUUUCUUAAGUCAGAGGUGAAAGGCUACGGCUCAACCGUAGUAAGCCUUUGAAACUGGGAAACUUGAGUGCAGGAGAGGAGAGUGGAAUUCCUAGUGUAGCGGUGAAAUGCGUAGAUAUUAGGAGGAACACCAGUUGCGAAAGCGGCUCUCUGGACUGUAACUGACACUGAGGCACGAAGGCCAGGGGAGCGAAAGGG